This 1067-nucleotide long non-coding RNA is filed under the name Numida meleagris (helmeted guineafowl). Its description in RNAcentral is "lncRNA (ENSNMEG00000022816.1)". Lineage: Eukaryota; Metazoa; Chordata; Aves; Galliformes; Numididae. The record is from RNAcentral.
AAAUAACUUCAAUUAAAUGUCAUCCCUUAUCUACAUGCAAGACAAACAUGAGACAGCACACUAAUUUUACACACAUUACUCUUUAUGUAACUGGAAAUGAGUCACAAAUGUACAUAUAUAGAAGGGAUACAUGUAGAACUUCCUCUACUUUAAAUGCCUCUUUGAAUUUUUUCACUGCUCAUGCUAAAUGAUUUCUGUCAAUAUUUUAAUUUCAGUUGGGAAGGGUGGAAUCAAAGAGUGACAUUUGGGAAAAUUAUUGUCAGCAAACUGAUGACUACAUACCAUAAUUAAAAAAUAAUGUAAAGAAGGAAGAAACUUGAUACAAAUGCUGUUACAUUUCUGUGAAUUUACUACUAAAAUAUCAAGAAGACAUAUUCAGAAAUAAACAUAAUAUUCAUCAAUGUAUACUAUCAUAAGAUGCAUUAUAUACAUAAAUGAUCAUUUCUGUAAUCAUAAGAAUAUUAAUGCAGCAGCUAAUAAAUAAAAUAAGCACCAAAGGACAAGAAUAUGACCUUAAAAUCCUUACUCAGCUGCCCUAUUAACUUUCUGAACACCACUGAAGGUGUGUGUCAGCUGCUUAAAUUAAAGGGAGAGUAAUUAAAAUUACACAAAUAAUAGGUGACUGGGGUCAGUCUCCAUCACCCUAUCUCCUAUAUUUCAGAGCAUUUUACAUUUUUUCCAUCAAUAUGCAAUCUUAAUUUUCUCUGCACAUCUCUCAAGUGCUCUUGGUCUAAAAACAACUUACCAUAAGAAGCAUAGCUGUUAACUGAUGUUCAGACCACAAGUUUUGGGGCUAUACUCAAAUCUCUUCCCAUGGUGUAUCAGAUCCUUCUUGUGUUGUUCUACAUCUCUACAAAUCUGGUUUCUGGAACAAGACAUGGUAUUUCCAGAGAGGUCAUUGGCUCACCUUAAAGGCAGUGGACAUUCCUGCUUACAGACCUGUUUUUCUUCACCAAGUGUAAAGUGGGACCUUUUGGCUCAGUUUGUGAUAGAAGUUUGGACAACAAGGAAGUAGAUACACGGUUGUGAAGAAAGAGCCCCUGGACUGAUGAGACAGAAUAUUCACC